AUGGUUAAGAGCGUCAGCGGCAACAUUCAGUGGUACUUCAAAAGGCAAAGGACAGAGGAAGUAGCAGAAGAUCCUCCAGCACAACAUUUACCUCUGCUUCUUGAAAUGGAACAACAUGAAAAUCAAGAUGAAGAGGCUCAAAUGAAUACUUCAUUUGCCCUUCCUGUUGUAUUUCGAGGUAUGGAACGCCAAGCAUUGUUGAAUCGGGCAGGCCAUUUGGAAAAUGUUGCAGCAGCAAAGGAUAAUGAAAAUGUAGAAAGAAACCAUUUCAGGCUAAAAUAUACUCCCUCCGUCCGUGAAUAA
This 303-nucleotide ribosomal RNA is filed under the name Triticum aestivum (bread wheat). Its description in RNAcentral is "partial small subunit ribosomal RNA". The record is from RNAcentral. Lineage: Eukaryota; Viridiplantae; Streptophyta; Magnoliopsida; Poales; Poaceae.